This 297-nucleotide ribosomal RNA is filed under the name uncultured Bacteroidota bacterium. RNAcentral's name for it is "uncultured Bacteroidetes bacterium partial 16S ribosomal RNA". It matches the Rfam family "Bacterial small subunit ribosomal RNA", at positions 561 to 859 of the family's 1533-position model. Lineage: Bacteria; Pseudomonadati; Bacteroidota. The record is from RNAcentral.
UUAAAGGGUCCGUAGGCGGGGUUUUAAGUCAGUGGUGAAAGCCUACAGCUCAACUGUAGAACUGCCAUUGAAACUGGAACUCUUGAAUGUGAUUGAAGUGGGCGGAAUAUGUCAUGUAGCGGUGAAAUGCUUAGAUAUGACAUAGAACACCGAUAGCGAAGGCAGCUCACUAAGUCAUGAUUGACGCUGAUGGACGAAAGCGUGGGGAGCGAACAGGAUUAGAUACCCUGGUAGUCCACGCCGUAAACGAUGAUCACUAGCUAUUGGCGAUACACAGUCAGUGGCACAGCGAAAGUG